Molecule: ribosomal RNA, 254 nt
Filed under: uncultured bacterium
Lineage: Bacteria
Description: partial 16S ribosomal RNA
Rfam family: Bacterial small subunit ribosomal RNA
Source: RNAcentral
UACAGAGGGGGCAAGCGUUAUUCGGAAUUAUUGGGCGUAAAGGGCGCGUAGGCGGCUUGGCAAGUGGAUGGUGAAAUCCCUCGGCUUAACCGAGGAACUGCCGUCCAAACUGCUUUGCUUGAGGCCGGGAGAGGUGAGUGGAAUUCCCAGUGUAGCGGUGAAAUGCGUAGAUAUUGGGAGGAACACCAGUGGCGAAGGCGGCUCACUGGACCGGUUCUGACGCUGAUGCGCGAAAGCGUGGGGAGCAAACGGGG